GAUGAAGAACGUAGUGAAAUGCGAUACGUAGUGUGAAUUGCAGAAUUCAGUGAAUCAUCGAAUCUUUGAACGCACAUUGCACCUCUCGGUAUUCCGGGAGGUAUGCCUGUUCGAGCGUCAUUUGUACCCUCAAGCUCUGCUUGGUGUUGGGUGUUUGUUCCGCCUCUGUGUGUGAACUCGCCUCAAAACAAUUGGCAGCCGGCGUACUUGUUUCGGAGCGCAGCGCAUUUUGCGAUCCAGAUCAACGUACAGCGGCAUCCAAGAAGCCUUAUUUAACGCUCUUGACCUCGGAUCAGGUAGGGAUACCCGCUGAACUUAAGCAUAUCAAUAAGCGGAGGA
This 339-nucleotide unclassified non-coding RNA is filed under the name soil metagenome. Its description in RNAcentral is "partial contains 5.8S ribosomal RNA, internal transcribed spacer 2, and large subunit ribosomal RNA". The stretch from base 1 to 120 matches the Rfam family "5.8S ribosomal RNA", at positions 35 to 154 of the family's 154-position model. The record is from RNAcentral.